AUUGAACGCUGGCGGCAGGCUUAACACAUGCAAGUCGAGCGGUAGCACAGGGGAGCUUGCUCCCUGGGUGACGAGCGGCGGACGGGUGAGUAAUGUCUGGGAAACUGCCUGAUGGAGGGGGAUAACUACUGGAAACGGUAGCUAAUACCGCAUAACGUCGCAAGACCAAAGAGGGGGACCUUCGGGCCUCUUGCCAUCAGAUGUGCCCAGAUGGGAUUAGCUAGUAGGUGGGGUAACGGCUCACCUAGGCGACGAUCCCUAGCUGGUCUGAGAGGAUGACCAGCAACACUGGAACUGAGACACGGUCCAGACUCCUACGGGAGGCAGCAGUGGGGAAUAUUGCACAAUGGGCGCAAGCCUGAUGCAGCCAUGCCGCGUGUGUGAAGAAGGCCUUCGGGUUGUAAAGCACUUUCAGCGAGGAGGAAGGUGGCGAGCUUAAUACGUUCAUCAAUUGACGUUACUCGCAGAAGAAGCACCGGCUAACUCCGUG
This 490-nucleotide ribosomal RNA is filed under the name uncultured bacterium. RNAcentral's name for it is "partial 16S ribosomal RNA". It matches the Rfam family "Bacterial small subunit ribosomal RNA", at positions 30 to 507 of the family's 1533-position model. The record is from RNAcentral.